RNAcentral lists this long non-coding RNA (778 nucleotides) under Arachis ipaensis. RNAcentral describes it as "long non-coding RNA (AIPA_LNC002417)". The record is from RNAcentral. Lineage: Eukaryota; Viridiplantae; Streptophyta; Magnoliopsida; Fabales; Fabaceae.
UUUCUGUCUCUCAGCCACAUAUUAAUCCUCAGUCAAAUGUCAACUCGUAAUCACUUAAAUACACUCACAAACAAGUAGUGCAAGCAAGAGAUUCAAUUCAAAGUACAAGCAAGUCACAACAAGACAAACAAUACAAUCACAAAGUAAUAAGACAAGCAAGCGCAAUCAAAUGCAAAUGUGCAAACAACAUGAUGCAUGUCUAUCCCUAACGCAGGCCAUGAGCUCAUGUGUCGGUUGCCUACCCGCUCCCGACAUUACCCAGGCACGAGUCCCAGAUAUGGCUUUCCAGAUGCAUCAGUGUGCUUAUAAGUUGUACGGUUAGGCCGCAUCAGUGUGACUUUCCAAAUCAAUAAGCGUACAUCUGGAAAACAGUUCUCAGUGUGUGGGCGUCCCCACUUUACAUUUGGCACUAAGGCCCAAACAAUGUCACAUCUGCUCUCCUGUGGCAGACACUUCAUUAAUUAAUAUAUUCUUUAAAUCCUUGUUCUCUGCUCUCCUGUGGCAGAGAUUCCUUUUCUUAAUAAACCGAGCUCAAAUCUUUACUUAAAACAAAAUCUCUCCUUAAAAGAUUGGGUUUAAAACAUUAUAUUUUUCUUAAUAAAUCAAACUUUAAAAUAGAGUAAAUUUUUUCUUAACUAAAUAUAUUUUAAAUAAUUUAAUUUUCUAAAACCAAAUCUUUUAAAAUAACUUUUCAAAUAAAACCUCAGAUUUUAUAAAAUUUCGGUGGCAUUUUCUCUAAAAUUCGGUCUAAACCACCCUUACGGGUUCCCUAUUCCUC